UACGUAGGUGGCAAGCGUUGUCCGGAAUUAUUGGGCGUAAAGAGCGUGUAGGCGGCCAUGCAGGUCCGUUGUGAAAACUGGAGGCUUAACCUCCAGACGUCGAUGGAAACCGUAUGGCUAGAGUCCGGAAGAGGAGAGUGGAAUUCCUGGUGUAGCGGUGAAAUGCGCAGAUAUCAGGAAGAACACCCGUGGCGAAGGCGGCUCUCUGGGACGGUACUGACGCUGAGACGCGAAAGCGUGGGGAGCGAACAGG
Molecule: ribosomal RNA, 253 nt
Filed under: uncultured bacterium
Lineage: Bacteria
Description: partial 16S ribosomal RNA
Rfam family: Bacterial small subunit ribosomal RNA
Source: RNAcentral